AUUGAACGCUGGCGGAAUGCUUACACAUGCAAGUCGAACGGCAGCACGGGGCAACCUGGUGGCGAGUGGCGAACGGGUGAGUAAUACAUCGGAACGUGCCCAAUCGUGGGGGAUAACGUAGCGAAAGUUACGCUAAUACCGCAUACGAUCUACGGAUGAAAGCGGGGGAUCGCAAGACCUCGCGCGAAUGGAGCGGCCGAUGUCAGAUUAGGUAGUUGGUGGGGUAAAGGCUCACCAAGCCAACGAUCUGUAGCUGGUCUGAGAGGACGACCAGCCACACUGGAACUGAGACACGGUCCAGACUCCUACGGGAGGCAGCAGUGGGGAAUUUUGGACAAUGGGCGCAAGCCUGAUCCAGCCAUUCCGCGUGCAGGAUGAAGGCCUUCGGGUUGUAAACUGCUUUUGUACGGAACGAAACGGCGAGCUCUAAUACAGUUUGCUAAUGACGGUACCGUAAGAAUAAGCACCGGCUAACUACGUG
This 481-nucleotide ribosomal RNA is filed under the name uncultured bacterium. RNAcentral's name for it is "bacterial SSU rRNA". It matches the Rfam family "Bacterial small subunit ribosomal RNA", at positions 30 to 507 of the family's 1533-position model. The record is from RNAcentral.